AACACUUGAUUGUUGUUUAAGAUGUAAAAUACAGGAUACUAUGGUAUUUGGAAUUAAUCUGAAUUGUAUGCUUUGCAGUAUAUAUGUGAAUUCAAGUUCAUCUUUUUUCAGAGGGGGGGGGGGGCUUAUUCCACUUUUUCGGCUCUCAUUUCUGGCAAAUGAAUGAAGAGCAUGAUGCCUUGAUAAAUUAACUGAAAGGUAGCGCCUCAGAAAGCUGCUUGAUGUGUAUUGUAUGGUUACUGGCUAGUGACAACCUUCAACAAGCAUUCUUGGAGUUUUUUCCUCACUCCUAGAGUAGUAGAUUUUGCUACAUUGUGCUAUUGAAACUGCAGUUGAAUUUCAAAGAUAGACUUUUUGAUUUCUCACCUGAUGCAAGACUGGCACACGUUUGGAAGUGAUGGGCUAUGAUACAGAGGCAAUCGCAGUACAGUUCUUUCUAGACAUGCUCGAAAAGACUGAGUUGCUUGGUUUUAUAAUUUUAGGAUUCAAUUGAUUGGGAUGAUGGUCCAUAAGCUUAUACUCUUGUGUUAUUAAACUGAAACUUGGUUAUUCAUAUUCAGAUGAACUUGGAAGAGUAUUUGAUCAGUACAGCUGUAUUUGGAUGCAUGGAUUUGAAUAGAAUAAUAGAGGCAUAAAACUAGUGAC
Long non-coding RNA from Macadamia integrifolia, 645 nucleotides. RefSeq lists it as uncharacterized. The record is from RefSeq and is a predicted model, not a curated record. NCBI's taxonomy places the organism in Eukaryota, Viridiplantae, Streptophyta, Magnoliopsida, Proteales, Proteaceae. The transcript has 2 exons.